This 497-nucleotide ribosomal RNA is filed under the name uncultured bacterium. Its description in RNAcentral is "partial 16S ribosomal RNA". It matches the Rfam family "Bacterial small subunit ribosomal RNA", at positions 28 to 506 of the family's 1533-position model. The record is from RNAcentral.
GAUGAACGCUGGCGGCGUGCCUAAUACAUGCAAGUCGAGCGAACGGACGAGAAGCUUGCUUCUCUGAUGUUAGCGGCGGACGGGUGAGUAACACGUGGAUAACCUACCUAUAAGACUGGGAUAACUUCGGGAAACCGGAGCUAAUACCGGAUAAUAUUUUGAACCGCAUGGUUCAAAAGUGAAAGACGGUCUUGCUGUCACUUAUAGAUGGAUCCGCGCUGCAUUAGCUAGUUGGUAAGGUAACGGCUUACCAAGGCAACGAUGCAUAGCCGACCUGAGAGGGGGAUCGGCCACACCGGAAAUGAGACACGGUCCCGACUCCUACGGGGGGGAACAGUGGGGAAUUUUUCGCAAUGGGGGGAAACCUGACAGGACAAACCCGGGUGAGUGAAGGAAGUGUUUGGGUCCGAAAACCCUGUUUUUGGGGGAAAAAAAAUGUGGAAGGAAACGGGCACAAUCUUAAGGGACCCAAAGAAAAAAGCCCCGGUUAACUCCGG